GCAAGUCGAACGAGAAAGCUCUUCGGAGUGAGUACAGUGGCGCACGGGUGAGUAACGCGUAGGUAACAUACCUUCUAGUGGGGGACAACAUCGUGAAAACGGUGCUAAUACCGCAUAUUUUGGAUGAAAUUGGAAAAAUUCAACAAAGGUGGCUUCGGCUAUCGCUAGAUGAAUGGCCUGCGUAGCAUUAGCUUGAUGGUGGGGUAAUGGCCUACCAUGGCUACGAUGUUUAACUGGUCUGAGAGGAUGAUC
RNAcentral lists this ribosomal RNA (252 nucleotides) under uncultured bacterium. RNAcentral describes it as "partial 16S ribosomal RNA". It matches the Rfam family "Bacterial small subunit ribosomal RNA", at positions 57 to 305 of the family's 1533-position model. The record is from RNAcentral.